RNAcentral lists this ribosomal RNA (206 nucleotides) under uncultured bacterium. RNAcentral describes it as "partial 16S ribosomal RNA". It matches the Rfam family "Bacterial small subunit ribosomal RNA", at positions 568 to 774 of the family's 1533-position model. The record is from RNAcentral.
UACGUAGGCGGUCUAUUAAGUCAGAUGUGAAAGCCCCGGGCUUAACCUGGGAACUGCAUUUGAUACUGGUAGACUAGAGUAUGGUAGAGGGGGUAGAAUUCCUAGUGUAGCGGUGAAAUGCGUAGAUAUUAGGAGGAAUACCAGUGGCGAAGGCGGUCUCCUGGACCAAUACUGACGCUGAGGUACGAAAGCGUGGGUAGCGAACA